RNAcentral lists this ribosomal RNA (1050 nucleotides) under Nemania sp. genotype 407. RNAcentral describes it as "eukaryotic LSU rRNA". The stretch from base 465 to 1050 matches the Rfam family "Eukaryotic large subunit ribosomal RNA", at positions 1 to 597 of the family's 3401-position model. Lineage: Eukaryota; Fungi; Ascomycota; Sordariomycetes; Xylariales; Xylariaceae. The record is from RNAcentral.
GGAUCAUUACAGAGUUCUCGCAACUCCCAAAACCCUGGCGAACUUACUGCGCGUUGCCUCGGCGGCUCACCCCGCCGGCGGCCCGCGCGACAACACCUGAAUUCUUAGUUACAGUUGACAGGUUGAGAACUCAGCCGAAUACGUUAAAACUUUCAACAACGGAUCUCUUGGUUCUGGCAUCGAUGAAGAACGCAGCGAAAUGCGAUACGUAAUGUGAAUUGCAGAAUUCAGUGAAUCAUCGAAUCUUUGAACGCACAUUGCGCCCACCGGUAUUCCGGUGGGCAUGCCUGUUCGAGCGUCAUUUCAACCCCUUAAGCCUCUGCUGCUUAGCGUUGGGAGCCUACCGGUGCGGUAGCUCCCCAAAGUGAGUGGCGGGGCCGGCUCGUGCUCUGGGUGUAGUAGAUCUCCAUCUCGCCCGCGGCCGGUGCCGGUCUCCUGCCGUAAAACGCCCCAAUUUUUCAGGUUGACCUCGGAUCAGGUAGGAAUACCCGCUGAACUUAAGCAUAUCAAUAAGCGGAGGAAAAGAAACCAACAGGGAUUGCCUCAGUAACGGCGAGUGAAGCGGCAACAGCUCAAAUUUGAAAUCUGGCCCUCGGGUCCGAGUUGUACUUUGUAGAGGAUGCUUUUGGCGCGGUGCUUUCCGAGUUCCCUGGAACGGGACGCCUUAGAGGGUGAGAGCCCCGUACGGUUGGCGGCCAAGCCUCUGUAAAGCUCCUUCGACGAGUCGAGUAGUUUGGGAAUGCUGCUCUAAAUGGGAGGUAAAUUUCUUCUAAAGCUAAAUACCGGCCAGAGACCGAUAGCGCACAAGUAGAGUGAUCGAAAGAUGAAAAGCACUUUGAAAAGAGGGUUAAAUAGCACGUGAAAUUGUUGAAAGGGAAGCGUUUGCGACCAGACCUUUUCCUGGCGGAUCAUCCGGCGUUCUCGCCGGUGCACUUCGCCAGGUCGAGGCCAGCAUCGGUUCCGGCAGGGGGACAAAAGCCUGGGGAACGUAGCUCCUCCGGGAGUGUUAUAGCCCCUCGCAUAAUACCCUUGCGGGGACCGAGGACCGCG